GCACGAACGGUAUGCCUUCGUUAGCAA
This 27-nucleotide small RNA is filed under the name Bombyx mori (domestic silkworm). Its description in RNAcentral is "ovarian small RNA-16341". The record is from RNAcentral. Lineage: Eukaryota; Metazoa; Arthropoda; Insecta; Lepidoptera; Bombycidae.